Molecule: ribosomal RNA, 484 nt
Filed under: uncultured bacterium
Lineage: Bacteria
Description: partial 16S ribosomal RNA
Rfam family: Bacterial small subunit ribosomal RNA
Source: RNAcentral
GACGAACGCUGGCGGCGUGCUUAACACAUGCAAGUCGAACGGAAAGGCCCUGCUUUUGUGGGGUGCUCGAGUGGCGAACGGGUGAGUAACACGUGAGUAACCUGCCCUUGACUUUGGGAUAACUUCAGGAAACUGGGGCUAAUACCGGAUAGGAGCUCCUGCUGCAUGGUGGGGGUUGGAAAGUUUCGGCGGUUGGGGAUGGACUCGCGGCUUAUCAGCUUGUUGGUGGGGUAGUGGCUUACCAAGGCUUUGACGGGUAGCCGGCCUGAGAGGGUGACCGGCCACAGUGGGACUGCGAUACGGCCCAGACUCCUACGGGAGGCAGCAGUGGGGAAUAUUGCACAAUGGGCGGAAGCCUGAUGCAGCAACGCCGCGUGCGGGAUGACGGCCUUCGGGUUGUAAACCGCUUUCGCCUGUGACGAAGCGUGAGUGACGGUAAUGGGUAAAGAAGCACCGGCUAACUACGUGCCAGCCGCCGCAGUAA